AUUGAACGCUGGCGGCAGGCUUAACACAUGCAAGUCGAGCGGGGUGAUGGUGCUUGCACUAUCACUUAGCGGCGGACGGGUGAGUAAUGCUUAGGAAUCUGCCUAUUAGUGGGGGACAACAUCUCGAAAGGGAUGCUAAUACCGCAUACGUCCUACGGGAGAAAGCAGGGGAUCACUUGUGACCUUGCGCUAAUAGAUGAGCCUAAGUCGGAUUAGCUAGUUGGUGGGGUAAAGGCCUACCAAGGCGACGAUCUGUAGCGGGUCUGAGAGGAUGAUCCGCCACACUGGGACUGAGACACGGCCCAGACUCCUGCGGGGGGCAGCAGUGGGGAAUAUUGGACAAUGGGGGGAACCCUGAUCCAGCCAUGCCGGGUGUGUGAAGAAGGCCUUAUGGUUGUAAAGCACUUUAAGCGAGGAGGAGGCUCUUUUGGUUAAUACCCAAGAUGAGUGGACGUUACUCGCAGAAUAAGCACCGGCUAACUCUGUGCCAGCAGCCGCCGUAA
This 503-nucleotide ribosomal RNA is filed under the name uncultured bacterium. RNAcentral's name for it is "partial 16S ribosomal RNA". It matches the Rfam family "Bacterial small subunit ribosomal RNA", at positions 30 to 523 of the family's 1533-position model. The record is from RNAcentral.